AAUCGCGAAUCAGCAUGUCGCGGUGAAUACGUUCCCGGGUCUUGUACACACCGCCCGUCACACCAUGGGAGCUGGAAAUGCCCGAAGUCAGUGACCCAACCGCAAGGAGGGAGCUGCCGAAGGUGGAGCCGGUAACUGGGGUGAAGUCGUAACAAGGUACC
RNAcentral lists this ribosomal RNA (161 nucleotides) under uncultured bacterium. RNAcentral describes it as "partial 16S ribosomal RNA". It matches the Rfam family "Bacterial small subunit ribosomal RNA", at positions 1340 to 1500 of the family's 1533-position model. The record is from RNAcentral.